AUAAAAAUAGUCCUAAAAAUUCUUGUUCGUUUUCAAAACAUCGUGCGACCAAAAGCUAUAGUAGUACCUUGCUUUGAUUAUAUAAAGCAAUUUCUAUUAAAUAUGGGAAACAAUUUUGAAAUAUAUACAUUCCUGAUUGUUUUCACUUCAAAUCACUCCACGGUGACGUCACAUUUUGAUUCAUACACCGGGAAAUUCAACUACCACGUGGCCGAACUUGAGAAAUCUUGUCCAAUCAUUCUCAUAUAGGCGGUGAUUUAAUUAUUGGUUAUUGUUAUUAUUGUUAUGCUCGUCAAGAAAUGGAAGACACACCUGGCCACCCGAUAUAUAUGACCUCUCCUGAGCAUGAAAAUCUACUGAAAUGUUUUCUAAAUGUUUCAUUAUGAGCCAUUUAUUGAUAGUUGACAUUGAAUUUGACUUCUUUUUUUUUUUUUUGCAUUUAAAUUACGCAAUAUAACGGACUUUGAAAUAUGCAACACGACACAUUUUCGUUGAUAGUUAAUAACAAAUCUGAACAUUCAGUCUGCCAUAACAGCAGGGGAUUCAGUGCAAGACCCAGCAGGACUGAUCAGUACAAACAUUCCUUCUUUAUAAGGACCGCCAUCGACUUGAACCACCUCUGUGAUCCAGCUGUGUUAUGUGACUCGAUUGGGGGCUUCAAGUCGUCCCUCGAAUCGCGCGCUCUCCCACCCACUGUGACAUCACCAACAUUGGGAUCUGCAAUGUAACAAUACAGAGUCAUACAAUUAUAUCGCCGUGUGGAUUAAGAUGAUUGUUAAUUAAAGGCCGCCAGAUCAAUUUGUACAAAAAUGGCACGAUGAUAUUAUAUAGGUCUAGAGGAAGCGAUUUACAUAAUUAUUUAAAUAAAAAAUUUAAAUGUGGGGAGUAUUUGAUAUCGUUACCGAAAAAGUUACGGAAAACCUUCAUUAAUGUAGAAUUACAAUGUCAUCACCUUCCUGUCAAAAUAGGUAGAUGGAGUAAUAUUCAAAGAAUGAACGCUCAACUUUCGCUAUUGUAGAUUACGCAACUGUAAGCAAAUUGCAGAUAAAAUUUCAUUAUAUUCUGGAAUGUGAAGCACUAUGCAAAUUACGCAGAUAAUUUUAAACAGUAGAAUAUUGUUCUGUCCCAAACACAAAAAAAAAGUGAACUUAUGUCUUCGAGAGAUUAUGUAUUACUAAGAAAGCUAUGUACUAAUAUGUUCAUUUUAAAAUUCAAUAAUAUUGUCUGGUCUCCGGAUUUUCUCUCUGUUUGAUCCACACGUUUUUGUAUAUGUGUAAUUUAUACGUUUCAUGCACAUUAUGUACCAUACCAUGGUUUGAGUGAAAUAAACUUCAAAUACGUAUAAGAAUAAA
Long non-coding RNA from Ostrea edulis (European flat oyster), 1352 nucleotides. RefSeq lists it as uncharacterized. The transcript is spliced from 2 exons. NCBI's taxonomy places the organism in Eukaryota, Metazoa, Mollusca, Bivalvia, Ostreida, Ostreidae. The record is from RefSeq and is a predicted model, not a curated record.